UCUUGAAAGGCUCAGUGGUAAAGAAUCUGCCUGCAAUGCAGGAGACGCAGGUUUGAUCCCUGGGUCAGGAA
This 71-nucleotide transfer RNA is filed under the name Ovis aries (sheep). It matches the Rfam family "tRNA". From Rfam's summary of the family: Transfer RNA (tRNA) molecules are approximately 80 nucleotides in length. Their secondary structure includes four short double-helical elements and three loops (D, anti-codon, and T loops). Further hydrogen bonds mediate the characteristic L-shaped molecular structure. tRNAs have two regions of fundamental functional importance: the anti-codon, which is responsible for specific mRNA codon recognition, and the 3' end, to which the tRNAs corresponding amino acid is attached (by aminoacyl-tRNA synthetases). tRNAs cope with the degeneracy of the genetic code in two manners: having more than one tRNA (with a specific anti-codon) for a particular amino acid; and 'wobble' base-pairing, i.e. permitting non-standard base-pairing at the 3rd anti-codon position. The record is from Rfam by way of RNAcentral. Lineage: Eukaryota; Metazoa; Chordata; Mammalia; Artiodactyla; Bovidae.